GACGAACGCUGGCGGCGUGCUUAACACAUGCAAGUCGAGCGGAGCGGCGAACGGGUGAGUAACGCGUGAGUAACUGCCCCCCUCUCUGGGAUAACAGUUGGAAACGGCUGCUCAUACCGGAUAGUGGGGGAUGGGUCGGGUCCUAUUAGCUUGUUGGUGGGGUAGUGGCCGCACAAGGCGACGACGGGUAGCCGGCCUGAGAGGGCGACCGGCCACACUGGGCUGAGCUACGCACCAAACUCCAACGGGAUGCAGUAGUGGGGAAUAUUGCACAAUGGGGGAAACCCUGAUGCAGCAACGCGCGUGCGGAAUGACGGCCUUCGGGUUGUAAACCGCUUUCAGCCAUGACGCGGUAGUGGCAGAAGAAGCACCGGCUAACUACGUGCCAGCAGCCGCGGUAAUAC
This 404-nucleotide ribosomal RNA is filed under the name uncultured bacterium. Its description in RNAcentral is "partial 16S ribosomal RNA". It matches the Rfam family "Bacterial small subunit ribosomal RNA", at positions 28 to 526 of the family's 1533-position model. The record is from RNAcentral.